Molecule: ribosomal RNA, 303 nt
Filed under: uncultured bacterium
Lineage: Bacteria
Description: partial 16S ribosomal RNA
Rfam family: Bacterial small subunit ribosomal RNA
Source: RNAcentral
AGCAGUAGCCGCGGGAAAACGGAGGGGGCUAGCGUUGUUUGGAAUUACUGGGCGUAAAGCGUGCGCAGGCGGUUCGUUAAGACAGAUGUGAAAUCCCCGGGCUUAACCUGGGAACUGCAUUUGAAACUGGCAGGCUAGAGUCUUGUAGAGGGGGGUAGAAUUCCAGGUGUAGCGGUGAAAUGCGUAGAGAUGUGGAGGAACACCAGUGGCGAAGGCGACUCUAUGGUCUGUAACUGACGCUGAGGCACGAAAGCGUGGGGAGCAAACAGGAUUAGAUACCCCUGUAGUCCCUGUCUCUUAUAC